Lucilia sericata (common green bottle fly) is the source of this 327-nucleotide long non-coding RNA. RefSeq lists it as uncharacterized. The record is from RefSeq and is a predicted model, not a curated record. The transcript is spliced from 2 exons. Lineage: Eukaryota; Metazoa; Arthropoda; Insecta; Diptera; Calliphoridae.
ACACACCAGCUCAACAGAUUGCAAAUGAAUGGAAUAUGGCUAAAACAAGCAAAACUUUUUGUUGCCAGUCGUGAGGUGGUAACUGAAUAGAACGGGUUAACGUUACGGAAAGUGUUGAAUUAAGUUUAAACUAUAAGAAAGGAAAACUUCGUUUUUUUGGGAAAGUAUAUAAUUUUGGAGACUUUUAAAAGAGAAUUAUUAAAAGAAAUAAAUAAAAAAAAACGUAAACAACCAACCAGUGGGGAGUUAAUUUAGUUUAAGAGUCUGGCCGCAGUAACAGCAAUAAAAACAACAACGAAACUUUUUAAUGUAAAUGCAAAAAUUGUG